CCUACGGGAGGCAGCAGUGAGGAAUAUUGGUCAAUGGGCGAGAGCCUGAACCAGCCAAGUCGCGUGUAUGAUGAAGGAUCUAUGGUUGGUAAGCUUCUUUUAUGUGGGGAUAAGGUGUGGAACGUGUUCCUUUUUGUAUUUUCCAUAUGAGUAAGCAUCGGCUAACUCCGUGCCAGCAGCCGCAGUAAUGCGGUGGAUGCGAGCGUUAUCCGGAUUUAUUGGGUUUAAAGGGUGCGGAGGCGGUUAAUUAAGUCAGCGGUGAAAGCUUGUGGCUCAACCUUAGAAUUGCCGUUGAAACUGGCUGACUUGAGUAUAUUUGAGGGAGGUGGAAUGCGUGGUGUAGCGGUGAAAUGCAUAGAUAUCACGAAGAACUCCGAUUGCGAAGGCAGCUUACUAAACUAUAACUGACACUGAAGUACGAAAGCGUGGGGAUCAAACAGGAUUAGAUACCCUUGUAGUC
Molecule: ribosomal RNA, 460 nt
Filed under: uncultured bacterium
Lineage: Bacteria
Description: partial 16S ribosomal RNA
Rfam family: Bacterial small subunit ribosomal RNA
Source: RNAcentral